AUACGGAGGGUGCGAGCGUUAAUCGGAAUUACUGGGCGUAAAGGGUGCGGAGGCGGUUUGAUAAGUCGGAUGUGAAAGCCCCGGGCUUAACCUGGGAAUGGCAUUCGAUACUGUCAGGCUAGAGUAUGUCAGAGGUUGGCGGAAUUCCUGGUGUAGCGGUGAAAUGCGUAGAUAUCAGGAGGAACACCAGUGGCGAAGGCGGCUAACUGGGGCAAUACUGACGCUGAGGCACGAAAGCGUGGGGAGCAAACAGGAUUAGAAACCCUAGUAGUCC
RNAcentral lists this ribosomal RNA (274 nucleotides) under uncultured bacterium. Its description in RNAcentral is "partial 16S ribosomal RNA". It matches the Rfam family "Bacterial small subunit ribosomal RNA", at positions 523 to 796 of the family's 1533-position model. The record is from RNAcentral.